AGAGUUUGAUCCUGGCUCAGAACGAACGCUGGCGGCAGGCUUAACACAUGCAAGUCGAACGGGCGUAGCAAUACGUCAGUGGCGGACGGGUGAGUAACACGUGGGAAUAUGCCUUUCGGUUCGGAACAACUCGGGGAAACCCGUGCUAAUUCCGGAUACGCCCUUACGGGGAAAGAUUUAUCGCCGAAAGAUUAGCCCGCGUUGGAUUAGCUUGUUGGUGAGGUAAAGGCUCACCAAGGCGACGAUCCAUAGCUGGUUUGAGAGAACGACCAGCCACACUGGGACUGAGACACGGCCCAGACUCCUACGGGAGGCAGCAGUGGGGAAUCUUGGACAAUGGAGGAAACUCUGAUCCAGCCAUGCCGCGUGAGUGAUGAAGGCCUUCGGGUUGUAAAACUCUUUUGGCGGGGACGAUAAUGACGGUACCCGCAGAAUAAGCUCCGGCUAACUUCGUGCCAGCAGCCGCGGUAAUACGAAGGGGGCUAGCGUUGUUCGGAAUUACUGGGCGUAAAGCGUGCGCAGGCGGCUUCUCAAGUCAGGGGUGAAAGCCCAGAGCUCAACUCUGGAAUUGCCUUUGAGACUGAGUGGCUUGAGUACGAGAGAGGUGAGUGGAAUUCCCAGUGUAGAGGUGAAAUUCGUAGAUAUUGGGAAGAACACCGGUGGCGAAGGCGGCUCACUGGCUCGUAACUGACGCUCAUGCACGACAGCGUGGGGAUCAAACAGGAUUAGAUACCCUAGUAGUCC
This 744-nucleotide ribosomal RNA is filed under the name uncultured bacterium. RNAcentral describes it as "bacterial SSU rRNA". It matches the Rfam family "Bacterial small subunit ribosomal RNA", at positions 8 to 796 of the family's 1533-position model. The record is from RNAcentral.